GCAUACGCAUGUAUGCACGUGUCCACAGCCACAGGGGCACAUGAUGGAGGCCUACAUACACACACUGCGGCUGCGCGUGCGAGAUGCGGCGCAUUCGUGCUGGACGGCAGCCUUCCCGUCAGAUCGUCCGUCGGCUGCCUAUUCGAUCUAUACGUGUAUCAUCAACAGCGGCCUGCUGGUGUGCAGCUUUGCGGUGGUGCUUUCACACCCGUGCGAAACGGUGGCGGGGCUUUGGGUGUACGCGGGCAUGGCGCACUGCUUCGUCAACAUGAUUUUCGGCGUCUUGGUAGUGGUGCUGACGAGGCGGCAGAUCGCCGCCGGCAUUCCGGAAGAGACGUCACAGUGGCUCGUGUGUUUCUCUAACCCUCUCAUCGCGGUGUACUCGCUGUACGUAGUAUGGGAAAUUGUAUGGAUGAUCGCGGUCGUCCAGUUUUCCGACCGCAAUCCCCACACCGUCUGCUCCUCGCACCUGAACGUGCAAGUUGCCUUCUUUGUGCUCUAUCUGCUGGUCGGCUUUGCUCUCUUCUACAGCACGUUCAUCACGGAGCGGUGGCGCCGACCGCGGUGGCGGCGCUUCGCGGCGAUGCGCUACGACUACCUCCACCGCACACGCAGCCGGUACACCGUUCGCUGGAACGAUGAGGACACUUCCAUCGGUGGCGACGGGCAGCCUGGAGACCUGGACCGGGUAAGGAUGUCGCCUCUUGACGGCACAGAGCGCACCACCACAUUGGACUACGCGAGCAUCAUGGAUGACUCGACGACGGCGGCCGGCGAUGGGCGGCGGGACCGCGAUAGUCGCGAUGCACGCGGCUGCAGGCGAACAGGGGGAUGAAGCUGCAUAUCCAUGCACGCAGGCGUGCGUGUCUUAGCGACUCCGCCCCACCCCAACCCUCUCCCCGUAGAGCAGUACCCUGGAAUCCUUCUUCCUCGGUCGAUGCAGUGGAGAUGUCGGCGUGUUUACGCCCACACACAAUCUGUGUGUGGACGCAUCGGUAGCCGCUCUACCUCAGCUCCUCUAGCUCUUAACGCGCACCUCCUGCCCGUGCUUCUUCGUCCACUGUCUUUUGUUCGGCAUGGGGGCACGGCUGCGCUUUUUCUUGUUGCUGCUUCCGAGAGCUUCGAAGCACGCCGAAAAGGGUUGAGGAAGGAGUACACAAGCCCACGCGUACGAAGGCAGAGGAACGAGAGCGAGCGCGCUCAGUGCACGUGAUUCUUUAUUGCUUUGCCGGCCUGUGAAGACCUUGCACCAGUACCUCCUGCUGCUGUCGACACACUCUGUCCUCUGCAAGCGUGUCGUGUAAAGAAAUGCCUGCGACAGGGCUCACUAUCUUGGGCGACGGAGGCUGUGCUGCUUCACAAGCCUCUCUGUCGUAUUGUGGGGACUGGCGACACUCGUCACCAGUGUCGCUGAGCGGUCGGUUGUGUCCCACCCACCCACCCAACCACUCACUCAUCCUCAUCUCCCCUACCGAUCGCCACAAGCUCGACAUGAUUGGCCCUCUUUGUGCCACAUGUCUCCUCCAUCAGGCGCCCUUUCGCACUGCUGUUUCUGAUCGCUCAUCCACCACCCAUCCCACCCACACGUGCGCCCACCUUUCUCAAGGCUCUUUUUCCUUUCGAGCUACAGACACUCACCGACCCAUUCACGCAGGCACAUACUCACGUGGAUGCGUGUGAACACACAGCUCUGCACCCUUCUCCUCCUACCCAGC
This 1715-nucleotide unclassified non-coding RNA is filed under the name Leishmania donovani. RNAcentral describes it as "gene:LdHU3.24.0400(CDS-product:hypothetical_prote in_conserved)". The record is from RNAcentral. Lineage: Eukaryota; Euglenozoa; Kinetoplastea; Trypanosomatida; Trypanosomatidae.